This 284-nucleotide ribosomal RNA is filed under the name uncultured Limnofilidae. RNAcentral's name for it is "partial 18S ribosomal RNA". The stretch from base 98 to 284 matches the Rfam family "Eukaryotic small subunit ribosomal RNA", at positions 739 to 955 of the family's 1831-position model. The record is from RNAcentral. Lineage: Eukaryota; Cercozoa; Limnofilidae.
GACUUCUGGUUUAAUGCACCUGGCCCGCGGCCCACAAGGCCUGUGAGUGCCGGCGCGCGUUUACCAUCCUUCAACGGCUACCCUUAACUGGGCGGCUGGAACUGGAUCUUUUACUUUGAAAAAAUUAGAGUGUUUAAAGCAGGCGUUUGCUCUGAAUACAUUAGCAUGGAAUAAUAAUCUAGGACUUCGGUUCUAUUUUGUUGGUUUCUAUAACUGAAGCUAGUAUUGGCCGGUCAGAGGUGAAAUUCUUGGAUUCGGUCAAGACUAACUUAUGCGAAAGCAUU